Molecule: signal recognition particle RNA, 304 nt
Filed under: Macleaya cordata
Lineage: Eukaryota; Viridiplantae; Streptophyta; Magnoliopsida; Ranunculales; Papaveraceae
Description: Plant signal recognition particle RNA
Rfam family: Plant signal recognition particle RNA
Source: Rfam by way of RNAcentral
GCCGAGCUCAGUAGCACGAGCUUGUAACCCAUGUGGGGGCAUGAAGGUGGUUGGACAUUGGAUCGGUUCCACUUGGUUGGGUCUGGUAGUGUUAAAUGUUGACUUGCCCGUUCCAAGUUGGGAGUUGGGCUAUGUGAAUCAGGCUAAGGCUUGGAUCAUGUAGUUCCUAAAGAGGAGGGUACAGCGUCAGGCUGGUUUCACAGAGCAGCGAUGACCUCCCGCUCUUGACAGUGGAAGGAUAACGAGUUGAUGCACCCUAGACCCAAUACGCCUGGUGAGCUGACUCAGUUGAACAACCACCUUU